RNAcentral lists this ribosomal RNA (491 nucleotides) under uncultured bacterium. RNAcentral's name for it is "partial 16S ribosomal RNA". It matches the Rfam family "Bacterial small subunit ribosomal RNA", at positions 29 to 506 of the family's 1533-position model. The record is from RNAcentral.
AGUGAACGCUGGCGGUAGGCCUAACACAUGCAAGUCGAACGGCAGCACAGUAAGAGCUUGCUUUUACGGGUGGCGAGUGGCGGACGGGUGAGUAAUACAUCGGAAUCUACUUUUUCGCUGGGGGUAACGUAGGGAAACGUACGCUAAUACCGCAAUCGAACUACGUGUGAAAGCAGGGCAUCUUCUGACCUUUUGCUAUGGAAGGAGCCGAUGUCGGAUUAGUUAGUUGGCGGGGGAGAUGCCCGCCAAGGAAACGAUCCGUAGCUGGUCUGAGAGGAUGGUCAGCCACACACGAACUGACACACGCUCCAGACACACACGGGAGGCAGCAGGGGGGAAUAUUGAACAAUGGGCGCAAGCCUGAUCCAGCCAGACCGCGUGGGUGAAGAAGGCCUGCGGGUUGUAAAGCACUUUUGUUGGGAAAGAAAAGAAGCAGGUUAACACCCCGCUGUUCUGACGGUACCCAAAGAAUAAGCACCGGCUAACCUGGU